GGGUUGUGAGGUUAAGCGACUAAGCGUACACGGUGGAUGCCCUGGCAGUCAGAGGCGAUGAAGGACGUGCUAAUCUGCGAAAAGCGUCGGUAAGGUGAUAUGAACCGUUAUAACCGGCGAUGUCCGAAUGGGGAAACCCAGUGUGAUUCGUCACACUAUCGUUAACUGAAUACAUAGGUUAACGAGGCGAACCGGGGGAACUGAAACAUCUAAGUACCCCGAGGAAAAGAAAUCAACCGAGAUUCCCCCAGUAGCGGCGAGCGAACGGGGAGCAGCCCAGAGUCUGAAUCAGCUUGUGUGUUAGUGGAACGGUCUGGAAAGUCCGACGGUACAGGGUGAUAGUCCCGUACACCAAAAUGCACAGGCUGUGAACUCGAAGAGUAGGGCGGGACACGUGGUAUCCUGUCUGAAUAUGGGGGGACCAUCCUCCAAGGCUAAAUACUCCUGACUGACCGAUAGUGAACCAGUACCGUGAGGGAAAGGCGAAAAGAACCCCG
Molecule: ribosomal RNA, 497 nt
Filed under: Klebsiella pneumoniae
Lineage: Bacteria; Pseudomonadati; Pseudomonadota; Gammaproteobacteria; Enterobacterales; Enterobacteriaceae
Description: partial 23S ribosomal RNA
Rfam family: Bacterial large subunit ribosomal RNA
Source: RNAcentral